GAUGAAGAACGUAGCGAAAUGCGAUAAGUAGUGUGAAUUGCAGAAUUCAGUGAAUCAUCGAAUCUUUGAACGCACAUUGCGCCCCUUGGUAUUCCAUGGGGCAUGCCUGUUCGAGUGUCAUUUGUACCUUCAAGCUUUGCUUGGUGUUGGGUGUUUGUCUCGCCUUUGCGUGUAGACUCGCCUUAAAAUAAUUGGCAGCCGGCGUAUUGAUUUCGGAGCGCAGUACAUCUCGCGCUUUGCACUCAUAACGACAGCGUCCAAAAGUACAUUUUACACUCUUGACCUCGGAUCAGGUAGGGAUACCCGCUGAACUUAAGCAUAUCAAUAAGCGGAGGA
This 336-nucleotide unclassified non-coding RNA is filed under the name soil metagenome. Its description in RNAcentral is "partial contains 5.8S ribosomal RNA, internal transcribed spacer 2, and large subunit ribosomal RNA". The stretch from base 1 to 120 matches the Rfam family "5.8S ribosomal RNA", at positions 35 to 154 of the family's 154-position model. The record is from RNAcentral.